ACAAGUAAAUAGAACUCGCCCCCUUUUUCUGGGGACAACAGGGCAUUCACCCACUUCUUGUUUGUGUCAGAGUUCAUCCACCUUUUCAUUUUCUACUUUGCUGCUGCUGUGUGAGAAUUGAUAUUUGGGCCUGAGACAACUACAGGAUGUCUAGUAUUUCUGGCUGUAACAGAGCUUUUGGUCUUCUUUGGAGAGCCCACUCUGAAGAAAAGGUCUAGCUAGAUCUGCCUUGAAGCUCUGGUUGGUCUAGGGUGCUGCAGCCCACCCAAGAAAUGUAGAGAAGAUGUUUUUCCUCAGCCCCUUCUUCUUCUUGACUGCUAGUAAAGAGCACUUGUGCGCACAAGUGGGUGAUGCUGCAGGGACUGCUUUUCUUGCUACCAGGCAGAAACAAUGGAUUGAUCUACAUAAGCGUCUUUCUCUCUACGGUCACUUGCCAUGUGCUCUCAUUUUUCUUUUUCCCUGAGCUGGGAGUUUGUUCUUCAAAAAGAUAGUUUCAUGUUGGCCACUUACCAGUCUUUAAAAGUGCCCAGUGUUGUGCUGUAUUCAGGUUCUGUUCAGACUGACCACUUGAAUUUUGUGGCUGCCAAACACACAAACAGGCCUUACUUGCGAUAGGAAAAUUUCCGAUGUAUUUGAGAACCCCAAGACAGCUAGGAUCUUGCGUGGUGGAAUUUAAUAGUUGGUGCAUGCUGUUCUAAUUCAAGUGACUUUAUCAAACAAAUUCCUUGUGAGCAAACACAGUUGUCUGAUGAAUGCUGAACAGAGAUGCUUUCAUCGUUUGUGAGGGUUUUGUGAUGCACUAUCUGAAUUGAAAGUUUCCUGUCAAGAAGCUGGUAUUACAGAUGUUUGUAAUUGGGUGUGGUGCAAAAAAUGAUUAACCUUAAAUGAUCACAUUUUAAAUGUAAAGAUUUCGAUAUGCGGUUUAUCUUGAAGACAGAAAUGGAUUUACUUGCAAUUUACAAACAAGAAAAUUAUGACACAGUAUGUGAAAACAAGAUAAAGCCUUCAGAUAAGACAUAUGCCGUAAGGGAAGACUUAGUGUUCCUGCAGGGGUUAGUUCCACUAUGGUAACUUUUAAGUGUGAUUUUUAUCUGAUACUCUAGGUAUUUUAUAAGAAGUUUUUCCUUCCACAUAUUUCGAUAGAAGGAUCAGUUGUCUGAAAAGUUACAGAUGAGCUUCUUCUGAAUAGUUUUAUUUAUCAUAACUGUUGGCUCUGGGGCCAGUAAUAGAAAAUUGAAAAGAACAUCUAUCAUUUAACAAUGACGUUUUUAAAAACUAGACAAAUACCUGUGAGUGUUUGGCAUCCAGUUUAGUUGGCUUGUGUAUACAGACUUUGUGUAUAUGUUAUUUUCAAGAACAGCUUUGCAUAAAUAGGAAACUGCUGUUAUUCAGAUUAUACUUGCUUAAGACUUAUAAGCUUGAAAGAGAGAAGGAAUAAAACAAAAAUGUCUCCUAUGCUUUCUGGAAAAAGCUUGGCAAUGCUUGCAAAGAUGUGUGCUUGGAAAGCAAUUGCUUCUGCUACCAUGCAUGGUACAGUUCCCAGUCUGCUCCCAAGCCAGCUCACUGACUUGUGUAGACCUUUGGAUUGCCCCUUAAAUGUCCUGAACAACUUGAUUACAUGGAAGAGAUGAUAUACACGGAGAAGAGGUUAAAGCAAGUGUUGCCUGCAGCAAAAUUAAGGUUCCCUUAAUUAAACUUCAAAUGACUAAAUUGUAU
This is a long non-coding RNA of Dromaius novaehollandiae (emu), 1716 nucleotides long. RefSeq lists it as uncharacterized. The record is from RefSeq and is a predicted model, not a curated record. The transcript has 3 exons. Lineage: Eukaryota; Metazoa; Chordata; Aves; Casuariiformes; Dromaiidae.